Molecule: unclassified non-coding RNA, 306 nt
Filed under: plant metagenome
Description: partial contains 5.8S ribosomal RNA, internal transcribed spacer 2, and large subunit ribosomal RNA
Rfam family: 5.8S ribosomal RNA (bases 1-105)
Source: RNAcentral
GAAAUGCGAUAAGUAAUGUGAAUUGCAGAAUUCAGUGAAUCAUCGAAUCUUUGAACGCACAUUGCGCCCGCCAGUAUUCUGGCGGGCAUGCCUGUCCGAGCGUCAUUUCAACCAUCAAGCCCCCGGGCUUGUGUUGGGGACCUGCGGCUGCCCGCAGGCCCUGAAAACCAGUGGCGGGCUCGCUGUCACACCGAGCGUAGUAGCAAUCACCUCGCUCAGGGCGUGCUGCGGGUUCCGGCCGUUAAACAGCCUUACAAAACCAAAGGUUGACCUCGGAUCAGGUAGGAAGACCCGCUGAACUUAAGC